GAGUUUGAUCCUGGCUCAGAUUGAACGCUGGCGGCAGGCCUAACACAUGCAAGUCGAGCGGUAGAGAGAAGCUUGCUUCUCUUGAGAGCGGCGGACGGGUGAGUAAUGCCUAGGAAUCUGCCUAGUGGUGGGGGAUAACGUUCGGAAACGGACGCUAAUACCGCAUACGUCCUACGGGAGAAAGCGGGGGACCUUCGGGCCUCGCGCCAUUAGAUGAGCCUAGGUCGGAUUAGCUAGUUGGUGAGGUAAAGGCUCACCAAGGCGACGAUCCGUAACUGGUCUGAGAGGAUGAUCAGUCACACUGGAACUGAGACACGGUCCAGACUCCUACGGGAGGCAGCAGUGGGGAAUAUUGGACAAUGGGCGAAAGCCUGAUCCAGCCAUGCCGCGUGUGUGAAGAAGGUCUUCGGAUUGUAAAGCACUUUAAGUUGGGAGGAAGGGUAGUAACUUAAUACGUUGCUAUUUUGACGUUACCGACAGAAUAAGCACCGGCUAACUUCGUGCCAGCAGCCGCGGUAAUACGAAGGGUGCAAGCGUUAAUCGGAAUUACUGGGCGUAAAGCGCGCGUAGGUGGUUCAGUAAGUUGGAUGUGAAAUCCCCGGGCUCAACCUGGGAACUGCAUCCAAAACUGCUGAACUAGAGUACGGUAGAGGGUGGUGGAAUUUCCUGUGUAGCGGUGAAAUGCGUAGAUAUAGGAAGGAACACCAGUGGCG
This 713-nucleotide ribosomal RNA is filed under the name uncultured bacterium. RNAcentral's name for it is "bacterial SSU rRNA". It matches the Rfam family "Bacterial small subunit ribosomal RNA", at positions 9 to 717 of the family's 1533-position model. The record is from RNAcentral.